GACGAACGCUGGCGGCGUGCUUAACACAUGCAAGUCGAACGGAAAGGCGCUGCUUUUGUGGGGUGCUCGAGUGGCGAGCGGGUGAGUAACACGUGAGUAACCUGCCCCUGACUGUGGGAUAACUUCAGGAAACUGGGGCUAAUACCGGGGAGGAGCUCCUGCUGCACGGUGGGGGUUGGUGAGAGUCGGCGGUGCGGGCAGGACUCGCGGCUUAUCAGCUGCUUGGGGGGGUAGUGGAGUUCCAAGGCUUUGGCGGGAAGGCGGCCUGGGAGGGUGGCCGGCCACCUUGGGCCUGAGGUACGGCCCCGUACCCUACGGGCCGCAGCAGGCGGGAAUAUUGCACAAUGGGCUCAAGCCUGUUGUAGCGGUCCCCCGUGCGUAAUGACGUCCUUCUGGUUGUGAACAGCUUUCUCAUUUGCCGAGGCGUGAGUGACGGUACCUAGUCAAGAAGCACCGGCUAACUACGUG
This 468-nucleotide ribosomal RNA is filed under the name uncultured bacterium. RNAcentral's name for it is "partial 16S ribosomal RNA". It matches the Rfam family "Bacterial small subunit ribosomal RNA", at positions 28 to 507 of the family's 1533-position model. The record is from RNAcentral.